GGGGAAUUAGCUCAAAUGGUAGAGCGCUCACUUAGCAUGCGAGAGGUAGCGGUAUCGAUACCCACAUUCUCCA
RNAcentral lists this transfer RNA (73 nucleotides) under Danionella translucida. It matches the Rfam family "tRNA". Rfam says of the family: Transfer RNA (tRNA) molecules are approximately 80 nucleotides in length. Their secondary structure includes four short double-helical elements and three loops (D, anti-codon, and T loops). The record is from Rfam by way of RNAcentral. Lineage: Eukaryota; Metazoa; Chordata; Actinopteri; Cypriniformes; Danionidae. RNAcentral also lists the same sequence under 1 other name.